CCUACGGGAGGCUGCAGUGAGGAAUAUUGGUCAAUGGACGAGAGUCUGAACCAGCCAAGUAGCGUGAAGGAUGACUGCCCUAUGGGUUGUAAACCUCUUUUAUAAAGGAAUAAAACGAGGCACGUGUGCCUUUUUGCAUGUACUUUAUGAAUAAGGAUCGGCUAACUCCGUGCCAGCAGCCGCGGUAAUACGGAGGAUCCGAGCGUUAUCCGGAUUUAGUGGGUUUAAAGGGAGCGUAGAUGGGUUGUUAAGUCAGUUGUGAAAGUUUGCGGCUCAACCGUAAAAUUGCAAUUGAUACUGGCAGUCUUGAGUACAGUUGAGGUAGGCGGAAUUCGUGGUGUAGCGGUGAAAUGCUUAGAUAUCACGAAGAACCCCGAUUGCGAAGGCAGCUUACUAAACUGUGACUGACAUUGAUGCUCGAAAGUGUGGGUAUCAAACAGGAUUAGAUACCCCGGUAGUC
Molecule: ribosomal RNA, 460 nt
Filed under: uncultured bacterium
Lineage: Bacteria
Description: partial 16S ribosomal RNA
Rfam family: Bacterial small subunit ribosomal RNA
Source: RNAcentral